GUGGGGAAUCUUCCACAAUGGACGAAAGUCUGAUGGAGCAACGCCGCGUGAGUGAAGAAGGGUUUCGGCUCGUAAAGCUCUGUUGUCGGGGACGAAUGUGCAGUAUUUGAAUAAAGUACUGUAAUGACGGUACCUGACGAGGAAGCCACGGCUAACUACGUGCCAGCAGCCGCGGUAAUACGUAGGUGGCAAGCGUUGUCCGGAAUUAUUGGGCGUAAAGGGAGCGCAGGCGGGAAGGUAAGUCGGUCUUAAAAGUGCGGGGCUCAACCCCGUGAUGGGAUCGAAACUAUCUUUCUUGAGUGCAGGAGAGGAAAGUGGAAUUCCUAGUGUAGCGGUGAAAUGCGUAGAUAUUAGGAGGAACACCAGUGGCGAAGGCGACUUUCUGGACUGUAACUGACGCUGAGGCUCGAAAGCCAGGGGAGCGAACGGGAUUAGAAACCCUAGUAGUCC
RNAcentral lists this ribosomal RNA (450 nucleotides) under uncultured bacterium. Its description in RNAcentral is "partial 16S ribosomal RNA". It matches the Rfam family "Bacterial small subunit ribosomal RNA", at positions 354 to 796 of the family's 1533-position model. The record is from RNAcentral.